Long non-coding RNA from Ictalurus punctatus (channel catfish), 2302 nucleotides. RefSeq lists it as uncharacterized. The record is from RefSeq and is a predicted model, not a curated record. The transcript has 4 exons. NCBI's taxonomy places the organism in Eukaryota, Metazoa, Chordata, Actinopteri, Siluriformes, Ictaluridae.
GAUUAGGACACAGCUCACUGUCACUGACAGUCCUUAUUGCCGAACAACUCACAGCAAGGUUCUGCUCUUGUAUGGGAUGAAUUGCAUUGUGAAAGCUCACCACAGAGUAAAUAAACUAAAACUUAUACUAGAUAAGAUUUCAUCUACAAUAUGUGUAAUUUGGGCGAAACCUACGCCUGAUUGCCGUUACAGCGGAUAGUGUUGAUCAGAUCAUCUGCGGAUAUUCUCUAUAGGCCCGAGGCGUAUGCAGGACUCCGACGUCACAAUCAAAAGGUCAAUUCAACGAUCAUUCACGUUGAGGGUGAAGUCAAAGCAGACCUGUUUGACAUAGCAACAUGGUCAACCGGUUAUUGAAAGUCUGCAGGCAUGCAGCUUAUGCACAGCUUCACCAUGGUCUGUUGAACUCGGCUUGACCCAGAGAAUCAGAGGAAGGUGGAAUCAUGUAUCUAGGACAUUAUUAUUGUAAAUGUAUCCAAUUUGCACUAUUGGUGGUGCUAGAGGGCUUGAGUGGCAUACACCAAAAUUGCUGUGAUGGUACCUGAGACUGUCUUCUGUCACUAUGCUAAAUUUCAUAAAAAGGGUAUGAAGCAUUCUAUGGGCUGCCAUAGACUCCCUUGUGGAAGUAGUAGAAGAAGAAGAAAACAUACAGUCACUAUAGAGUGCCUAUGUACCUUCUGUGCUUGAACCCCUAAAAACAGAUUAGAAGGAGAUAAGUAUGGCAAAAGAGACUAAAUUUAAAAAAAAAACGGAUGUGGCAAAAAAAAAAAAAAACAGCUGUAAGCAUUUAUAUAGAAACAAUAGUGUUAUAGCCAUAAAUCUCCAUUUUUAAUAUCCACCAUAAGGCUAAUAAUAACAACUAAACCUGGGAAGCCUGUAGAUCAGGGGUGUCAGACAUACGGCUCGGUUCAAUCCGGCCCGCAGGAUGAAUUUUGAAAGUGGAAAAAAUGCAUAAAAGACACGAACUAGAAAUUUUUAAUAAAAUGCUAUUCUUAAAUUAUCCGCUAGGGGCGCACUAUUUGAGUCAGAGUAGAAGACGCGGCACAAUGCUGGGACUCAGACCGAACUGCAGAUGGUAACAAUGGCCCUUCUGCUGUUGGUUAUUACAUUGUGACCAGUUGUAACGCACACAUGUAAAUGAUAAUCAGAAGCAAAUUGCACAUGUUCUUCUUAAGAAAUCUGAGGUUGUUCAUGAUAUGUUUUGCAAAAGGAUAUUUCAUUAAAUAUGAAGAUUUUCCUAAGGUACUUGUACUUCUGUACACGAAAACAAAGAGGAAAAACAUGGACUUAUUGUUAUUUAAAGGUAAUUAUGCUAUGAUUUUACUGGCCGGCCCACUUGACAUCUAAUUAGGCUGUAUAUGGCCCCUGAGCUAAAAUGAGUUUGACAUCCCUGCUGUAGAUGAUGAAGCCUGUGGUGAACAAGUGUAUUGGUAGAUAUUAUUCUAAUAUUUAUCGUUUAAGUAUUAUCUUAAUAUUUAAACAUUUGAGUAUUUCUGAUCAAUAGCGCUCGACUGGCACACUAAAGGAUUGUAAAACUACCUUCAUAAGGUUCAACAGUCACCUCCAAUAAAGACACCUCAUGAACCAGACCCUUUAAAUUAUCAUCAAAUAACUCCUUAAAAAACACCCUUAUUGUAAGGAAAAGUAUGGGAAGAUAUCAACUUGUAAAAAUGAUGGAAUGUUAUUCCCAAAAAUUAUUUGUGGAGCUCUAACUUAAAUUGUAAGUUUGGCUUGUUUUCCAUUCACUUAGGUGGAAAUGGGAGGGGUUAAAAUUUUUACUGCAACUAGGGGGCCUACUAUUGGGCCUAAGAGACAUUUUGGCUUAAAUUCUACACCCCUGUAAGUAUGUCCACUCAUACACUGCAUACACUCAUUGGUCAAAACACAAAAUCAGUCACUGGCAAAGAAAAGGAAAAUUUAGGCGAGACCAAUAGAAAUUGCCAUGAAAAAAUUAUUUGGUGACAAUAUAAUUAAUACUGUUCAAUACAGUACGUUUUCCCAAAACUCAGGGAAGUGCCUAGAUCGGCCAGCAUUAUAGUAAAAAUAACAUUGAUGAAGAGACAUGCACACAAAGAAGUAAUUUAUUUUACACUUAAUGUUACACAAAGAAGUAAAAACCAUUGACUCCUGCAAUGAAACCGUUAGAAGAACAUUACUACAGGAAUGUUCCCAGAAUUUUUGUUACAAAAAUAGCAGUUAAAAGCAAACUUUACCAAAAGUCAUAAAAUCAUAAGAGAAUAUUUUAAAGUUUGGGGAACAGUGCUGGUAUUGUUAACCAAAACAACCUCCCCAUGCCUCCAAAUGG